Long non-coding RNA from Rhinolophus ferrumequinum (greater horseshoe bat), 665 nucleotides. RefSeq lists it as uncharacterized. The transcript has 3 exons. The record is from RefSeq and is a predicted model, not a curated record. Lineage: Eukaryota; Metazoa; Chordata; Mammalia; Chiroptera; Rhinolophidae.
GAAGAGAAAACUGAGUCUCAGAGUGGUGGCAUGUCAGACAUCACCCAACCAGGAAGGACUGGAGCUGGGGUGGAGCCCAGGACCCUGAGGUUAAAUACUGCUCGUUCAUCCAACAUCUGCCGAAUGCCAGGGCAGAAGUUUUCCUGGUUCGUUUCUGCAUCUGUCGCCCCAGCACAGAGCCCGGCGUGUGUCUGCUCAGAGAAGAGUUGUGGGAUGAAGAUCGAGCCGGGGCCUCCAGCCUCUCCUUCACGGCUGACCCCAGCUCCUCUGACAACGCAGCAAUCCCAGCCCGGAUGGCAUCUGGGCAAGGCAGGUCUCCAGGGGACGCCUUCCCUGUGGGUUCUUCUCUGAAAGAAGUGGUAUUGAUGUCAGCAGGUGCCUGUCACUUUCCUUCCCCAGCAAAAUCUCAACUGUCAAAGCAAGUCUGGCGACAGGAGGAGGAUGCAGGGCUGGCUCCUGAAGACAGGUGUGGGCAGGUGGUGGACACUGGUUCGGCUCGCCUGGGCUCAGCAGGGGCAGAGACCCCUGUAGUGGGCUCUGCCACGUCUCGGCUCCAGCCCAGCUCGGCACCCCCUCCAGGGGGCAAGAAGGACAUGAGAGACAGGAGUGGAUGGUGGCCAAACCGAGAUCCUCUGGCCCUUCUCCUGCCCUCCCUGGUGGGCAUU